RNAcentral lists this ribosomal RNA (402 nucleotides) under uncultured bacterium. Its description in RNAcentral is "partial 16S ribosomal RNA". It matches the Rfam family "Bacterial small subunit ribosomal RNA", at positions 28 to 414 of the family's 1533-position model. The record is from RNAcentral.
GACGAACGCUGGCGGCGUGCUUAACACAUGCAAGUCGAGGGCACUUUGGGGGGCAACUCUGGAGUGACCGGCGAACGGGUGCGUAACACGUGAGCGACCUUGCCUCGUGGUGGGGGAUAGCCGGCCCAACGGCCGGGUAAUACCGCAUAGGGUGGUCUUUUCGCAUGGAGAGACUAGCAAAGCCCUGGAGCAAUCCAGUGGCGCCACGAGGGGGGGCUCGCGGCCUAUCAGCUAGGNGGGGGGUAAUGGCCCACCAAGGCGACGACGGGUAGCUGGUCUGAGAGGAUGGCCAGCCACAUUGGGACUGAGAGACGGCCCAGACUCCUACGGGAGGCAGCAGGUGGGGAAUCUUGCGCAAUGGCCGAAAGGCUGACGCAGCGACGCCGCGGUGGGGGAGGAAGG